GACGAACGCUGGCGGCGUGCUUAACACAUGCAAGUCGAACGGAAAGGCCCUGCUUUUGUGGGGUGCUCGAGUGGCGAACGGGUGAGUAACACGUGAGUAACCUGCCCUUGACUUUGGGAUAACUUCAGGAAACUGGGGCUAAUACCGGAUAGGAGCUCCUGCUGCAUGGUGGGGGUUGGAAAGUUUCGGCGGUUGGGGAUGGACUCGCGGCUUAUCAGCUUGUUGGUGGGGUAGUGGCUUACCAAGGCUUUGACGGGUAGCCGGCCUGAGAGGGUGACCGGCCACAUUGGGACUGGGAUACGGCCCAGACUCCUACCGGAGGCAGCAGUGAGAAAUAUUACACAAUGGACGGAAGCCUGAAGCAGCAACGCCGCGUGCGGGAUGACGGCCUUCGGGUUGUAAACCGCUUUCGCCUGUGACGAAGCGUGAGUGACGGUAAUGGGUAAAGAAGCACCGGCUAACUACGUG
RNAcentral lists this ribosomal RNA (468 nucleotides) under uncultured bacterium. RNAcentral's name for it is "partial 16S ribosomal RNA". It matches the Rfam family "Bacterial small subunit ribosomal RNA", at positions 28 to 507 of the family's 1533-position model. The record is from RNAcentral.